AUGCACCACGCAGGUCAACCUCAGCCGGGGACGCGUGUGGGGCAAAUCAAAUGUUCCACUGCUCUGUGCACGUCCGCCAAUGACUUUGAAAGCGCCGCGAGUAUGGACUUGGGGGUUGCAAAUAAAUUUGAGAGAGUAGGAGACUUUGCAAACAUGGAAUCCAUGAAUCAUGAGGCCCGACUUAUAUUCACGGCUGGUUGUUGGGCAUCAAGACAAUCUGGAAGGAUCCAAGAAACCGGAACUUCUCCCUGGAGAGACACAAAUGGCAGGCAGUUUCCUCACAGAAAUGCCGAGACCGCUGUUCUGGAGUCAGAAGACCAGAGUUCAAAUCCUAAACUCCCAUUGGCAAAUUAGCAGAUUGGUGCUCAGAGGCAGAAGCUGCCAGAAGUGGACACGAUAAGGAAGAGAGAAACACUGUAUGAACCGUCCGCUGGGAAACCUCCGCAGUCUGGGGCCCUCUGGUGCAGGGACUAACAACCGUAUUUACCCCACUACCCACUACAUCCGGGUUCAUUCACCUUCAUCCCUAAUGAAGAUGGGGAGACACCAUGGAAAGCCUCACCUUGCGUUUAAAAAAAUUUUUUUUAAAUGUUUGUUUAUUUUUGAGAGAGAGAGAGAGAGAGACAGAGUAGAGUGUGAGCGGGGCAGGGGCAGAGAGAGAGGGAGACACAGAAUCUGAAGCAGGCUCCAGGCUCUGAGCUGUCAGCACAGAGCCCGACGCGGGGCUUGAAUCCACAAACUAAGCCUCACCUUGCGUUUUAGCACGUCAUGCACUAGGCAGAGAAAUAAACCGGAGAAUGUAAUUGCUCA
This 810-nucleotide long non-coding RNA is filed under the name Felis catus (domestic cat). Its description in RNAcentral is "lncRNA (ENSFCAG00000051008.1)". Lineage: Eukaryota; Metazoa; Chordata; Mammalia; Carnivora; Felidae. The record is from RNAcentral.